UCACGAUUUGAUGGGAUCCAGUACUCAUCUUUGUGCAUGUAUAAUGUUAAUUUUAUAUUGAUUAUUCCACUGUCUUGCUCGGUUUCUUGCUGCACUAGAAUCUUGGAGCUUCUGGAUAUUUGGAUCAACCAUCUUUCCCAUGCUAAGUGUAAGGCUCAGCUGAGAAACGCCAAUACAUUUAGUUGGAAAGAGACCUGAUUGCUUCAACUGCGUUUAUUCUGGUUUCUUUCUGUAUCAUUCUUGUUGGAGAAAUAACAGGUACUGCAGAAGAUGCUGCUGUUGCAUUGAAUAAGAUCAUAUGAUCAAACAGGGAAAUGGAACUGAGAAGCCUGUUGUUGCUGAGUUGCAAGUAAACCAGUUUGACUAUGCCACCCACCACCUUCUGCAUUUGGUUGUGGGAGUAAAAUUUAGUCACCUGUUUGAGCUUCUAGUCUUUAGCCUCCGUUUUGGAGAAAAGUUAGAUAGAUUCCUUAAAGAUCACUAUGGCGGUAUGAUCUUCCUCCCGAGUAUCUCUGUCUCUUUAAUGUUUGAUUUUGGAUUCUGUAAAUAACCUUGAGAGGAUCAUAAAUGGUUUGUGUCAGUGCACUGGCUUUGGCCUUCUUCUUCUAGACACGGUGUUCUCACUUCUAUAGCUGUUGCAUCCGUCUGAAUGUUGCAGCCAUUGUUUCCGGCGGUAAGGGCACAGCUCAAGACAAAAUUAAGAGCCUAAGCCUAAGGGACGGUGGUUGAAUUGAAUCUCUGGCCAGUAUCGGAGCAGCAAUACACGGCAUCUUCCAAGAAAGAGGUGUUCUCUGAUAACAUUUUGCAAAGAGGAAAAGGUAAACCCUAAAUCUUGAGGAGCUGCUGACACACACACACACACACACACACAUAUAUAUAUAUAUAUAACAUCUACUAUUAGUGGAUUUAUAUUCUGAAAAUGAGACAAAAAAGGGUAUAAUAUAUGACGACGACUUAAAUUUAUAACAUCUUGAUGUCAUGACACAAGUAACUUGCAGUCCAAGUAUCUUAAAAUGCUAUUGAUCUUCACUUAUGUUUGGUUUAAUUCAUGUAU
Long non-coding RNA from Tarenaya hassleriana, 1054 nucleotides. RefSeq lists it as uncharacterized. Lineage: Eukaryota; Viridiplantae; Streptophyta; Magnoliopsida; Brassicales; Cleomaceae. The transcript is spliced from 3 exons. The record is from RefSeq and is a predicted model, not a curated record.